CCUGCCAGAGGAUUACAGGCAUGGCUGUUAUGUAACAUGUGCAUCAGUAGGUGGCAGAAAGACAGGCUAUGUCUUCACUCAGUGUUCUGAUUUGUGAACAUUUAAAUAAUCAGUAGCCUUACCAU
Rattus norvegicus (Norway rat) is the source of this 125-nucleotide small nucleolar RNA. Ensembl annotates it as small nucleolar RNA SNORA17. The record is from Ensembl. Lineage: Eukaryota; Metazoa; Chordata; Mammalia; Rodentia; Muridae.